RNAcentral lists this long non-coding RNA (356 nucleotides) under Nicotiana benthamiana. Its description in RNAcentral is "long non-coding RNA (NBEN_LNC025836)". Lineage: Eukaryota; Viridiplantae; Streptophyta; Magnoliopsida; Solanales; Solanaceae. The record is from RNAcentral.
UAAAUCAGUUGUAAGUCGAUUUUUAUUAAUUCCUUCAACCAUUUACAUCAUUUUAUAUGUUUUCCACUUUAAUUCAAUAAUUUUCAUGGGUAAAAUUGGAGGUUUUGGGUAGAACCUAGGUUUUUCAAAAUUUGGGGUCUGGACCUCGAUUUGAGAUCCGAUUUCAAAACAAACCAUAGAUAUGGAUUCGUGGGGAAAUGGGUAAUCGGAUUUUGGUUCGAAGUUCGAGUUUUGACCACGUGGGCCCGGGCCGUUUUUGGACUUUUGGGUAAAAAUUUGGGAAAUUCAUCAACCCUAGGUAAAGCCAUAGUUGAGGCUUGAGCUGAAUUCAAGGCAUGGAGGUAAGUGUUUGAUUU